UGGGGAAUUUUGGACAAUGGGCGAAAGCCUGAUCCAGCAAUGCCGCGUGUGUGAAGAAGGCCUUCGGGUUGUAAAGCACUUUUGUCCGGAAAGAAAUCCUUGGCUCUAAUACAGUCGGGGGAUGACGGUACCGGAAGAAUAAGCACCGGCUAACUACGUGCCAGCAGCCGCGGUAAUACGUAGGGUGCAAGCGUUAAUCGGAAUUACUGGGCGUAAAGCGUGCGCAGGCGGUUUGCUAAGACCGAUGUGAAAUCCCCGGGCUCAACCUGGGAACUGCAUUGGUGACUGGCAGGCUAGAGUAUGGCAGAGGGGGGUAGAAUUCCACGUGUAGCAGUGAAAUGCGUAGAGAUGUGGAGGAAUACCGAUGGCGAAGGCAGCCCCCUGGGCCAAUACUGACGCUCAUGCACGAAAGCGUGGGGGAGCAAAACAGGAUUAGAUACCCUGGUAGUCCACGCCCUAAACGAUGUCAACUAGUUGUCGGGUCUUCAUUGACUUGGUAACGUAGCUAACGCGUGAAGUUGACCGCCUGGGGAGUACGGUCGCAAGAUUAAAACUCAAAUGAAUUGACGGGGUC
RNAcentral lists this ribosomal RNA (574 nucleotides) under uncultured bacterium. RNAcentral describes it as "partial 16S ribosomal RNA". It matches the Rfam family "Bacterial small subunit ribosomal RNA", at positions 355 to 920 of the family's 1533-position model. The record is from RNAcentral.